UACGGGGGGGGCAAGCGUUGUUCGGAAUUACUGGGCGUAAAGGGCUCGUAGGCGGCCAACUAAGUCGGACGUGAAAUCCCUCGGCUUAACCGGGGAACUGCGUCCGAUACUGGAUGGCUCGAGUGUGGGAGAGGGAUGCGGAAUUCCUGGUGUAGCGGUGAAAUGCGCAGAUAUCAGGAGGAACACCGGUGGCGAAGGCGGAUCUCUGGGCCAUUACUGACGCUGAGGAGCGAAAGCGUGGGGAGCGAACAGG
Molecule: ribosomal RNA, 253 nt
Filed under: uncultured bacterium
Lineage: Bacteria
Description: partial 16S ribosomal RNA
Rfam family: Bacterial small subunit ribosomal RNA
Source: RNAcentral